This 441-nucleotide ribosomal RNA is filed under the name uncultured bacterium. Its description in RNAcentral is "bacterial SSU rRNA". It matches the Rfam family "Bacterial small subunit ribosomal RNA", at positions 28 to 507 of the family's 1533-position model. The record is from RNAcentral.
GAUGAACGCUGGCGGUAUGCCUAACACAUGCAAGUCGUACGAGAGUUUUUAACUCUAGUGGCGGACGGGUGAGUAACACGUGAGAAUUUGCCUUUAGGAGGGGGACAACAAUCGGAAACGAAUGCUAAUACCCCAUAUGCUUUCGAGUGAAAUGGAUUUUAUCCGCCUAGAGAGAAGCUCGCGGCUGAUUAGCUUGUUGGUAAGGUAAGAGCUUACCAAGGCGACGAUCAGUAUCUGGUUUGAGAGGACGAUCAGACACACUGGAACUGAGACACGGUCCAGACUCCUACGGGAGGCAGCAGUGGGGAAUUUUCCGCAAUGGGCGAAAGCCUGACGGAGCAAUACCGCGUGAGGGAAGAAUGCCUAUGGGUUGUAAACCUCUUUUUUCAGGGAGGAAUCAAAUGACGUGUACCUGAAGAAUAAGCAUCGGCUAACUCCGUG